GAUGAAGAACGUAGCGAAAUGCGAUACGUAAUGUGAAUUGCAGAAUUCAGUGAAUCAUCGAGUCUUUGAACGCACAUUGCGCCCUCUGGUAUUCCGGAGGGCAUGCCUGUCCGAGCGUCAUUGCUGCCUCAAGCACGGCUUGUGUGUUGGGCCCCGUCCUCCUUCCGGGGGACGGGUCCGAAAGGCAGCGGCGGCACCGCGUCCGGUCCUCAAGCGUAUGGGGCUUUGUCACUCGCUUUGUAGGCCUGGCCGGCGCUUGCCGAUCAACCAAACUUUUUAUCAGGUUGACCUCGGAUCAGGUAGGGAUACCCGCUGAACUUAAGCAUAUCAAUAAGCGGAGGA
RNAcentral lists this unclassified non-coding RNA (342 nucleotides) under soil metagenome. RNAcentral describes it as "partial contains 5.8S ribosomal RNA, internal transcribed spacer 2, and large subunit ribosomal RNA". The stretch from base 1 to 120 matches the Rfam family "5.8S ribosomal RNA", at positions 35 to 154 of the family's 154-position model. The record is from RNAcentral.